Molecule: ribosomal RNA, 468 nt
Filed under: uncultured bacterium
Lineage: Bacteria
Description: partial 16S ribosomal RNA
Rfam family: Bacterial small subunit ribosomal RNA
Source: RNAcentral
GACGAACGCUGGCGGCGUGCUUAACACAUGCAAGUCGAACGGAAAGGCCCUGCUUUUGUGGGGUGCUCGAGUGGCGAACGGGUGAGUAACACGUGAGUAACCUGCCCUUGACUUUGGGAUAACUUCAGGAAACUGGGGUUAAUACCGGAUAGGAGCUCCUGCUCCAUGGUGGGGGUGGGAAAGUUUCGGCGGUUGGGGAUGGACUCGCGGCUUAUCAGCUUGUUGGUGGGGUAGUGGCUGACCAAGGCUUGGACGGGUAGCCGGCCUGAGAGGGUGACCGGCCACAUUGGGACUGAGAUACGGACCAGACGCCUACGGGAGGCAGCAGUCGAGAAUAUUGCACAAUGGGCGGAAGCCUGAUGCAGCAGCGCCGCGUGCGUGAUGACGGCCUUCGGGUUGUAAACCGCUGUCGCCUGUGACGAAGCGUGAGUGACGGUAAUGGGUAAAGAAGCACCGGCUAACUACGUG